This 464-nucleotide ribosomal RNA is filed under the name Vreelandella stevensii. RNAcentral's name for it is "partial 16S ribosomal RNA". It matches the Rfam family "Bacterial small subunit ribosomal RNA", at positions 338 to 795 of the family's 1533-position model. The record is from RNAcentral. Lineage: Bacteria; Pseudomonadati; Pseudomonadota; Gammaproteobacteria; Oceanospirillales; Halomonadaceae.
CCUAGGGGGGGCAGCAGUGGGGAAUAUUGGACAAUGGGGGGAACCCUGAUCCAGCCAUGCCGCGUGUGUGAAGAAGGCCUCGGGUUGUAAAGCACUUUCAGUGAGGAAGAACGCCUGGUGGUUAAUACCCAUCAGGAAAGACAUCACUCACAGAAGAAGCACCGGCUAACUCCGUGCCAGCAGCCGCGGUAAUACGGAGGGUGCGAGCGUUAAUCGGAAUUACUGGGCGUAAAGCGCGCGUAGGUGGCUUGAUAAGCCGGUUGUGAAAGCCCCGGGCUCAACCUGGGAACGGCAUCCGGAACUGUCAAGCUAGAGUGCAGGAGAGGAAGGUAGAAUUCCCGGUGUAGCGGUGAAAUGCGUAGAGAUCGGGAGGAAUACCAGUGGCGAAGGCGGCCUUCUGGACUGACACUGACACUGAGGUGCGAAAGCGUGGGUAGCAAACAGGAUUAGAUACCCUGGUAGUC